This 451-nucleotide ribosomal RNA is filed under the name Tettigonia viridissima. Its description in RNAcentral is "partial 16S ribosomal RNA". It matches the Rfam family "Bacterial large subunit ribosomal RNA", at positions 1860 to 2565 of the family's 2925-position model. Lineage: Eukaryota; Metazoa; Arthropoda; Insecta; Orthoptera; Tettigoniidae. The record is from RNAcentral.
UGCCCACUGAUGAUUUAUUAAAGGGCCGCGGUAUUUUGACCGUGCAAAGGUAGCAUAAUCAUUAGUCUUUUAAUUGAAGGCUGGUAUGAAUGGUUUGACGAGAUAUAAGCUGUCUCUGUAUAAUAAUAUAUAAUUUAACUUUUGAGUCAAAAGGCUUAAAUAAAUAUAAAAGACGAGAAGACCCUAUAGAGCUUUAUAUAUAAUUGUAACUUGUAUUAUUUGGAGGUAUUGUAAAUAAGUAUGAAUUAUAUGUUUUGUUGGGGUGACAUGAAGAUAUAAUAAACUCUUUAUUAUUUAAACAUUGAUUUAUGAUUAAUUGAUCCAUUAUUAAUGAUUAUAAGAUAAAGUUACCUUAGGGAUAACAGCGUAAUUUUUUUUGAGAGUUCUUAUCGACAAGAAAGAUUGCGACCUCGAUGUUGGAUUAAGGAAUAUGACUAGGUGUAGAAGUUUA